Non-coding RNA from Brachypodium distachyon (stiff brome), 152 nucleotides. Lineage: Eukaryota; Viridiplantae; Streptophyta; Magnoliopsida; Poales; Poaceae. The record is from RefSeq and is marked provisional.
GGGAAGAGGACGGAGGGAGAGGAUGAUGAAGCCGCAGCACGGGGCGCCCGCCGGCGGCGGCGGCGGCCACGGGCACGGGCGGAGGGCCCCGUUCCUGACCUCGUACGCGCUCACGCUCGCCUUCAUCACCUUCGUCUCCGUCCUCUACUUCA